This is a long non-coding RNA of Actinia tenebrosa (Australian red waratah sea anemone), 276 nucleotides long. The record is from RefSeq and is a predicted model, not a curated record. Lineage: Eukaryota; Metazoa; Cnidaria; Anthozoa; Actiniaria; Actiniidae.
CUAUCCAAGCUUGUUCAGGCUCAUUCCACAUACUAUCACCAAGGACAUGACCUCAUGAAUGAUCUGGAAUCAUACAUGAAAGAACUGAAUGAUGAGCUUGAUGGAUUAUCUAUUCAGUUUAUGGUCGAUAAGAAGGAAAUGGAAGAACGACAUACUCUAGUACAAAAAAGGGAUGCAUCACAAAAAUAUGAAAAGACACCAGACCACCCUGGAGAGGUGGUAAUUGAAGGGUACUUGUUUAAAAGAAGCAGUAAUGCCUUUAAGACUUGGCAAAGG